This is a long non-coding RNA of Lynx canadensis (Canada lynx), 329 nucleotides long. RefSeq lists it as uncharacterized. NCBI's taxonomy places the organism in Eukaryota, Metazoa, Chordata, Mammalia, Carnivora, Felidae. The transcript has 3 exons. The record is from RefSeq and is a predicted model, not a curated record.
CUACACACAGCACCACCACCUACUAGGACAGGACCAACACCAGGGUCUGGAAGAAAACAUCCCUUUCAAAUCCACGGGGCAAUUUUUACCAACUCAUUUUUCAUGGAGCAGGAAAAAUAGUCAGACAAAUCAAAGGAAUAAGGAAGGAAGACUUGUCCUAACAGUGUGGUGCCCCGGGGGAUCCUGACUGUGUGGAGGCGCGCGGGACACACUGCGGCCCUGACGGGAGCCCUGCGGUGGGCAUACACGAGGGAGUUCUUCAUCCUCUCAGCAGGCUGGCACACACCAAUGGCAGGCUGGGGUCCUUGGCUUGUUUCAGAAAGGGGAGG